Molecule: long non-coding RNA, 351 nt
Organism: Magallana angulata
Lineage: Eukaryota; Metazoa; Mollusca; Bivalvia; Ostreida; Ostreidae
Exons: 3
Source: RefSeq, a predicted model, not a curated record
AGGGCAUGGUGCCCUGGCUGUACGGACACACAAUUGAGUAAAAGUUGUCCUUAAACUUCUUGGUAGAGUUCAUGUCUUGAGUGUGACAUCUUCAACAUCUUGGCAGAAUUCGAUGGAGAAUGCAUCUUCCAUUUUCGUUCGCCAGACUGGACGAAUCUUCAAGCAGAAGAUACAGUGGCGUUGAAGGGAGAUUCAAAACUGUUACAAAUGAGGAAAUAGAGAAAUUUUUCGACUCCAGGCAAGCAAAAUCAACAAAAAGAAAUACAGCAUGGGGAUUUUUCAAGAUUGGAACAUGGAGAUCUAUGGUUCUGUACUAAUGGUGCAACAUUAGACCUGCAAACAGCAAAUGUG